AAUUUCUCAAGCUUGGAUGGCAGUUUUGUCUGUCCUUAGUCUUGGUUUAUUGGGCUUUUGCUGUUUCUUUCAUUGAGACGGCUGGCCUUAAAAGUAUUAGCUGAUCCUUAUGUUGGUACUGGUUCUACUCAGUGUGAUAAUAAUAUGAUCACUGAGGACAUCUUUUGGGAUGGCCAGUUCUCAUUCGGGUUGCUUCUAACCUUGGAUGCGGAUUUUGUUCAAUCUGGUACCAAUCAUCGA
RNAcentral lists this unclassified non-coding RNA (240 nucleotides) under uncultured Clavulinaceae. RNAcentral describes it as "sequence contains ITS2". Lineage: Eukaryota; Fungi; Basidiomycota; Agaricomycetes; Cantharellales; Hydnaceae. The record is from RNAcentral.